RNAcentral lists this ribosomal RNA (463 nucleotides) under uncultured bacterium. Its description in RNAcentral is "partial 16S ribosomal RNA". It matches the Rfam family "Bacterial small subunit ribosomal RNA", at positions 339 to 795 of the family's 1533-position model. The record is from RNAcentral.
CUACGGGCCGCUCCAGUAGGGAAUUUUCGGCAAUGGGCGCAAGCCUGACCGAGCAACGCCGCGUGAGUGAUUAAGGCCUUCGGGUUGUAAAGCUCUGUUGUAAAGGAAGAACGAUCAGUAUAGGGAAUGAUACUGAUGUGACGGUACUUUACCAGAAAGCCACGGCUAACUACGUGCCAGCAGCCGCGGUAAUACGUAGGUGGCAAGCGUUAUCCGGAAUUAUUGGGCGUAAAGGGAGCGUAGGCGGUUUAUUAAGUCUAUGGUGAAAGUACGGGGCUCAACCCCGUAUGGCCAUAGAAACUGAUAGACUAGAGUGCAGAAGAGGGUAGUGGAAUUCCAUGUGUAGCGGUAAAAUGCGUAGAUAUAUGGAGGAACACCGGUGGCGAAGGCGGCUACCUGGUCUGUUACUGACGCUGAGGCUCGAAAGCGUGGGGAGCAAAUAGGAUUAGAUACCCGCGUAGUC